Molecule: long non-coding RNA, 2411 nt
Organism: Monodelphis domestica (gray short-tailed opossum)
Lineage: Eukaryota; Metazoa; Chordata; Mammalia; Didelphimorphia; Didelphidae
Source: RefSeq, a predicted model, not a curated record
GCUAGAGUUCAGUUCCAUCCUGGAGCUCAAGCUUGGAGGAGCUCAGCAGACAGCUUUCCUUCAGACCGGUCACGACAGACAGAGAGGCCUUGUAUGUUAUGAGAACGGAUCUUUGGAAGAAGGACUUUGUUACCCGAGGUCUCAGGGAAGGUCAUUUGUUAGAAUUUCUCAAGAAAAUGAAUUAUCUUCUUUCUCAUAGGGAGAGGUGGGUGGCAGACACAUACUCAGGGGUGGGAGGAGAAGAUAGAUAAGAACAGAACUCAAGAGUUGACAUUCCCAGCCCACCAUACUCAAAUUCUGCCUUUAUUUAAUGGGAGAGAUUGUUUGCUUCAGCCAGAUGUUCAAGCGCACUCCACCAACAUCCCAACCCAGGAAGGAAAACAAGCUAGCCACAGAAGACCACCCAAUUUAUCUCCUGUCUCUGUCAGCAAUCCAAGAGUCAGGAGGCUCCUGGGAAAUGUAGUUCAAAGGCACAAGAUUACCAAUUACAUUCAAGGGAGCAUCUACAGAAGUAAUUCAGCUGCCCUAGCAAGGGGGACAUUUUCAAAGGAUGAAGAAUUGACUGAACCUCAAAGGCUGGAUGAUUCCAUUUAUGCACUUCAGUACAACUCCGUCACACCUUUGGGCUCACCCUAGCCAAAAGCCUUUGGUCUCUUUCUUCACCUUGCUUUACACUCCCUUCUUCUCCCCCCACCUCAACCUUUCAGCUCCACUUUACAUUUAAGUGGGUUCAGAUGGGUUUCUGAUGUGCUGUGGCCUUGGAUGUAUUACUGAAUAAACGAUUCUAGAAAUCAAUUAAGCACUUGGAGAGGGAAAAGAUGAAGGAAGCCAGAAGACCUGGGAUGUAGAUGUUUUUCAAGGAUGCUCUCCUUUUCUUUAACCUUUCAUUCAACUGUAUGUGUUUCUUACACUUGCUGUCUAGUGUUAGGCAUGUGAAGGGUUGUGACUUUAGUGUCUUUCUUCCUGCAUCAAAGUAGAAGAUAUGGUACUCUGGACCCCAGCUAAGCCCUAGACCCCUAUCAUCCUAUUUAAAGGGCAGAUAGUGUUAUCCCCCCUCCCCAUACACCAUUUAGACCAUUUAGCCAGCUGGUCUGCUCUUCCCAAAGUCUCCUGGACACCCUCAGAACUGCCCAUGACAGUACUGCUUGUUGGGUCAGGGUUAUGAUCAGCCCUUUGCCCUUUGAACACAAUAUAAUCUCUCCUGUGCCCAUCAACAUACUUAGACCCUGUUACCAAUAAUAGUUUAUUUUUUUCACAUUGAAAGAAACCAUGACACUGGUGCCAACAGGAUAGUCCUACCAACAUCCACAAAUGCAUGCUAGUAUACCCUGUGUCCAUAUAUAUCAGGCUCUUGACAGUCAAUGUGAUAUUUUCCAAAGCUUUUUUUUUUUUAGGAAAAAGAGAGUGGAAAAAAUGUUCCUGUCAUUGUUCACUGUGCUGUUUCUGCCUCCUAUUAGCUCUGCUAAGAUGCACCCAAAGAAAAGAAAAUACAAUUGCAUACCAUUAACAAUGGAAAUUAUUAAUAGGAGCAAGAGCUUUAAUCCAUUCUACAAGUAAUUCUGUAGUGAUUUUAGUAAUUGAUAGUAAUUAAACGCUAAUUAAUUCAUUUCCUAAGUCAGGCAUUUGCUUUAUUUAUGGGUAUUCACUUUAAUUACACUUGUUUUCACUAUUUGGGUUAAGUAAUACAAAUUUGUACUCUCUUUUCUAGAAAUAUUUAUUUGGGUUUCUUUAAGACAUUCUUAGAGAGUAUGUGGGAAUAAAGAAUAAUUGCUUUGAACUGAAGCUAAGCACACUGAUUUCUUUCUUUGGAAAUGUACAGCUGAUAGAAGGUGAAGAUUUUCUAUAUCAGGUAGCUUUGUGUAUCCUUCUCUCACUCUCUGCCCUCCCCCACUCCUGCAAUCCUAUUCUGUCUUACUACCAGAGACUGUUUCUGCCCAAGAAGAUUAGAAGCACAGGUGGCCCAUGAAUCUGAAGCAUCAGCACAUAUACAUCCUGGUUUGUGUCUUCAUUUUUAGUUGUGUGUGACAGGCCUGGAUGGACAUGAUGGAUUGAGGGAAUGGGUUAUGGGAAUGCUUGUAGGACUGUGAGGCAACAAACUGGUCUUGUUGCUGAUGGGGCAGAAGUUAUUCAAGCACACACAAUGCCUUUCAUGAAAUUGGACAUUUAAUAAACACUUGUUGAAAGAAAGAAUUAGGGGCCAUUCAGUGACUUAGUGGAUUGAGAGCUAAGCCUAGAAAUGGGAAGUAGAGGUUUCAAAUCUGGCCUCAGACCCUUCCUAGCAAGUCACUUACCUCCCAUUGCCUAGUUCUUACCACUCUUCUGCCUUGUACCCAGUACACAUUAUUGAUUCUAAGAUGGAAGGAAAAGGUGAAAAAAAAUAAAGAAAAUAAAUUAAUCAAUGAGUGAAUGAA